Molecule: ribosomal RNA, 253 nt
Filed under: uncultured bacterium
Lineage: Bacteria
Description: partial 16S ribosomal RNA
Rfam family: Bacterial small subunit ribosomal RNA
Source: RNAcentral
UACGGAGGGUGCAAGCGUUAUCCGGAUUCACUGGGUUUGAAGGGUGCGUAGGUGGGCAGGUAAGUCAGUGGUGAAAUCUCCGGGCUUAACCCGGAAACUGCCAUUGAUACUAUCGGUCUUGAAUACCGUGGAGGUGAGCGGAAUAUGUCAUGUAGCGGUGAAAUGCUUAGAUAUGACAUAGAACACCAAUUGCGAAGGCAGCUCACUACACGAAUAUUGACACUGAGGCACGAAAGCGUGGGGAUCAAACAGG